Molecule: ribosomal RNA, 472 nt
Filed under: uncultured bacterium
Lineage: Bacteria
Description: bacterial SSU rRNA
Rfam family: Bacterial small subunit ribosomal RNA
Source: RNAcentral
ACUCCUACGGGAGGCAGCAGUGGGGAAUAUUGCACAAUGGGCGCAAGCCUGAUCCAGCCAUGCCGCGUGUGUGAAGAAGGCCUUCGGGUUGUAAAGCACUUUCAGUAGGGAGGAAAGGUUGUACGUUAAUACCGUGCAGCUGUGACGUUACCUACAGAAGAAGCACCGGCUAACUCCGUGCCAGCAGCCGCGGUAAUACGGAGGGUGCGAGCGUUAAUCGGAAUUACUGGGCGUAAAGCGCGUGUAGGUGGCUUGUUAAGCCAGAUGUGAAAGCCCCGGGCUCAACCUGGGAACUGCAUUUGGAACUGGCAGGCUAGAGUUUUGUAGAGGGUGGUAGAAUUUCAGGUGUAGCGGUGAAAUGCGUAGAGAUCUGAAGGAAUACCGGUGGCGAAGGCGACCACCUGGCCAAUAACUGACACUGAGACGCGAAGGCGUGGGUAGCAAACGGGAUUAGAUACCCUGGUAGGACAGU